This 875-nucleotide long non-coding RNA is filed under the name Mytilus galloprovincialis (Mediterranean mussel). Lineage: Eukaryota; Metazoa; Mollusca; Bivalvia; Mytilida; Mytilidae. The record is from RNAcentral.
UGGGCGGGCGGGCGGCAAUCAAAUGUUGUCCGUGCAUUAACUCAUGAACCGUUCAACCAAAGCUUUUAAAAUUUUAAUAUGUUGUUACUGACAACUAAAUGAAGGUCAAGUUCAAUAAUGGCGAUUUUGACUUUUACCGUUCAGGAGUUAUGGUUCUUGAAAGAUUGAAAAAUGGUUUUUCCAGUCGUGUCCGUGCAUUUACGCAUGAACUGUUCUACCAAAGCUUCCCAAAUUUUAAUAUGUUGUUACUGAUGACAAAAUGGAGGUCAAGUUCAAUAAUGACGAUUUUGACUUUUACCGUUCAGGAGUUAUGGUUCUUGAAAGAUUGAAAAAUGGAGUUUCAAGUCGUGUCCGUGUAUUUACACAUGAACUGUUCUACCAAAGCUUGCCAAAUUUUAAUAUGUUGUUACUGAUGACAAAAUGGAGGUCAAGUUCAAUAAUGACGAUUUUGACUUUUACCGUUCAGGAGUUAUGGUUCUUGAAAGAUUGAAAAAUGGUGUUUCCAGUCGUGUCCGUGCAUUUUCUCAUGAACCAUUCAACCAAAGCUUUUGAAAUUUUUAUAUGUUGUUACUGAUGACAAAAUAGAGGUCAAGUUCAAUAAUGACGAUUUUGACUUUUACCGUUCAGGAGUUAUGGUUCUUGAAAGAUCGUAAAAUGGCGUUUCCAUUCACUUUAUUGCAUUUACUCAUGAACCAUUCAAUCUAAGCUUUUCAAAUUUUAAUAUGUUGAUACUGAUGACAAAAUGGAGGUCAAAUUUGAUAUUGACGAUUUUCACUUUCACCAUUCAUCAAUAAUGGUUCUUGUGAUAUUGCCAGGACACAAAUAAAUGUUAACAAAUCCGGUUUGCUGUCGUUUGACAGCCUCUUGUAUUUCAA